UACCAGCACCCCGAGUGGUCGGGACGAUUAUUGGGCCUAAAGCAUCCGUAGCCGGUUUUACAAGUCCUCCGUUAAAUCCAGCUGCUUAACAGAUGGGCUGCGGAGGAUACUAUAAGACUAGGAGGCAGGAGAGGCAAGCGGUACUCAGUGGGUAGGGGUAAAAUCCGUUGAUCCAUUGAAGACCACCAGUGGCGAAGGCGGCUUGCCAGAAUGCGCUCGACGGUGAGGGAUGAAAGCGUGGGGAGCAAACAGG
Molecule: ribosomal RNA, 253 nt
Filed under: uncultured bacterium
Lineage: Bacteria
Description: partial 16S ribosomal RNA
Rfam family: Archaeal small subunit ribosomal RNA
Source: RNAcentral